RNAcentral lists this ribosomal RNA (487 nucleotides) under uncultured bacterium. RNAcentral's name for it is "partial 16S ribosomal RNA". It matches the Rfam family "Bacterial small subunit ribosomal RNA", at positions 28 to 507 of the family's 1533-position model. The record is from RNAcentral.
GAUGAACGCUAGCGAUAGGCUUAACACAUGCAAGUCGAGGGGCAGCACAAGGUAGCUUGCUAUCUGGGUGGCGACCGGCGCACGGGUGCGUAACACGUAUGCAACUUGCCCUAUACAGGAGGAUAACCCGUCGAAAGACGGACUAAUACUGCGUAUGCUCACAACUUGGCAUCAAGUGGUGAGGAAAGAAAUUCGGUAUAGGAUAGGCAUGCGUCCCAUUAGCUUGUUGGUGAGGUAACGGCUCACCAAGGCAACGAUGGGUAGGGGAACUGAGAGGUUUAUCCCCCACACUGGUACUGAGACACGGACCAGACUCCUACGGGAGGCAGCAGUGAGGAAUAUUGGUCAAUGGGCGCGAGCCUGAACCAGCCAAGUCGCGUGAAGGAUGACUGUCUUAUGGAUUGUAAACUUCUUUUAUACGGGAAUAACAAGAGUCACGUGUGACUCCCUGCAUGUACCGUAUGAAUAAGCAUCGGCUAACUCCGUG